RNAcentral lists this ribosomal RNA (761 nucleotides) under Pseudomonas sp. RNAcentral describes it as "bacterial SSU rRNA". It matches the Rfam family "Bacterial small subunit ribosomal RNA", at positions 257 to 1010 of the family's 1533-position model. The record is from RNAcentral. Lineage: Bacteria; Pseudomonadati; Pseudomonadota; Gammaproteobacteria; Pseudomonadales; Pseudomonadaceae.
AUCUUGGCUCACCAAGGCGACGAUCCGUAACUGGUCUGAGAGGAUGAUCAGUCACACUGGAACUGAGACACGGUCCAGACUCCUACGGGAGGCAGCAGUGGGGAAUAUUGGACAAUGGGCGAAAGCCUGAUCCAGACAUGCCGCGUGUGUGAAGAAGGUCUUCGGAUUGUAAAGCACUUUAAGUUGGGAGGAAGGGUUGUAGAUUAAUACUCUGCAAUUUUGACGUUACCGACAGAAUAAGCACCGGCUAACUCUGUGCCAGCAGCCGCGGUAAUACAGAGGGUGCAAGCGUUAAUCGGAAUUACUGGGCGUAAAGCGCGCGUAGGUGGUUUGUUAAGUUGGAUGUGAAAUCCCCGGGCUCAACCUGGGAACUGCAUCCAAAACUGGCAAGCUAGAGUAUGGUAGAGGGUGGUGGAAUUUCCUGUGUAGCGGUGAAAUGCGUACAUAUAGGAAGGAACACCAGUGGCGAAGGCGACCACCUGGACUGAUACUGACACUGAGGUGCGAAAGCGUGAGGAGCACACAGGAUUAGAUACUCUGGUAGUCCACGCCGUAGACGAUGUCAACUAGCCGUUGGGAGCCUUGAGCUCUUAGUGGCGCAGCUAACGCAUUAAGUUGACCGCCUGGGGAGUACGGCCGCAAGGUUAACACUCAAAUGAAUUGACGGUGGCCCGCACAAGCGGUGGAGCAUGUGGUUUAAUUCGAAGCAACGCGAAGAACCUUACCAGGCCUUGACAUCCAAUGAACUUUCCAGAGAUGGA